RNAcentral lists this non-coding RNA (26 nucleotides) under Mus musculus (house mouse). Lineage: Eukaryota; Metazoa; Chordata; Mammalia; Rodentia; Muridae. The record is from RNAcentral.
UGUGAGAGGCUUGUCAGUUUCAUUGA